GCGGGAAUAGCUCAGUUGGUAGAGCACGACCUUGCCAAGGUCGGGGUCGCGAGUUCGAGUCUCGUUUCCCGNCGAGUCUCGUUUCCCGCUCCA
This 93-nucleotide transfer RNA is filed under the name Pseudomonas fluorescens. Its description in RNAcentral is "tRNA-Gly". The stretch from base 1 to 73 matches the Rfam family "tRNA". Rfam says of the family: Transfer RNA (tRNA) molecules are approximately 80 nucleotides in length. Their secondary structure includes four short double-helical elements and three loops (D, anti-codon, and T loops). The record is from RNAcentral. Lineage: Bacteria; Pseudomonadati; Pseudomonadota; Gammaproteobacteria; Pseudomonadales; Pseudomonadaceae.